UAGGGAAUAUUGCACAAUGGGGGAAACCCUGAUGCAGCGACGCCGCGUGAGUGAUGAAGGCCUUCGGGUCGUAAAGCUCUGUCGUAUGGGACUAACAAAAUGAAGGUACCAUGCAAGAAAGGAUCGGCUAACUUCGUGCCAGCAGCCGCGGUAAGACGAGGGAUCCUAGCGUUGUUCGGAAUCAUUGGGCGUAAAGCGGGUGUAGGCGGACUUUUAAGUCAGGUGUGAAAUCCCAGGGCUCAACCCUGGAAGUGCACUUGAUACUGCAAGUCUUGAGUGUGGUAGAGGCUAUUAGAAUUCUUGGUGUAGUGGUGAAAUACGUAGAUAUCAAGAGGAAUACCGGAGGCGAAGGCGGAUAGCUGGGCCAACACUGACGCUGAGACCCGAAAGCGUGGGGAUCAAACAGGAUUAGAUACCCAGUAGUCCCUGAGCGGGCUGGCAAGGCGCAU
Molecule: ribosomal RNA, 449 nt
Filed under: uncultured bacterium
Lineage: Bacteria
Description: bacterial SSU rRNA
Rfam family: Bacterial small subunit ribosomal RNA
Source: RNAcentral